This is a long non-coding RNA of Sciurus carolinensis (gray squirrel), 330 nucleotides long. RefSeq lists it as uncharacterized. Lineage: Eukaryota; Metazoa; Chordata; Mammalia; Rodentia; Sciuridae. The transcript is spliced from 3 exons. The record is from RefSeq and is a predicted model, not a curated record.
UCACCCAGUGGGAGCCUCCAUCCUCAGAAGGCAGGUUCUCAUUAAGUUGCUGAGGCUGGCCUUGAACUCAAGAGUCCUCCUGCCUCAGCCUCCUGAGUAGCUGGGAUCACAGUCGGUGAUUCUGAGUCUUAUCAAGAUGGAGUCAGAGUGGAGCGCAGGGUCGGGCCCGUGGACAGUGCUAGAGGUUGACGGACGGCUGCUUCCUCCACAGGUCACCUUCACUUCCUGUAUUCUGCACAGAAGCUGCAGCCCCAGCUCACAGAAAACCAGUUUCUGGGCACCUCCAGGCAUGGGGAGCGAGGGGACCACAGCCUGUGUCCUGCAUCCAUG